CGCCACCCUGUCCCACUUAUGAUCUGACUUCUCUCUCUGCUUUGUUUGGCAUGAGUGUGAUCCUGAAGGAGGAGGAAUAAAAAAAAAAAAGUUUGGUUUUUUUCCCUCCCUUGUAGCUCUUUAUGUCUGAAGAAAAACAUUGAAUCCUGAGUAUUUCUGAUUGGUCGUCUGGUGAAUGAUCCUGUUAGAUAUCAUUUCCAUUCAUUAGCUGCUGUAAUUAGGAUUAAUUGGUUUCAUCAAUCACUGUAAUAAUUAUAGCCGUUAGCAAAAUUGAAGCUUUAGGCGGGAAUGGACGAGGUUUUGUUGGAUUUUUUGGAAGAGUUUUGAAUCAGGUUUGUCAGGUGGAGAUUAUUGAUAAUCAGGUUUGGUUGAAAGGUCACGAAGCUGCUGUAAAAAAAAAAAAAGAAAAAGAAAAAAUAGAGGAUUUGAAU
Cynoglossus semilaevis (tongue sole) is the source of this 431-nucleotide long non-coding RNA. RefSeq lists it as uncharacterized. NCBI's taxonomy places the organism in Eukaryota, Metazoa, Chordata, Actinopteri, Pleuronectiformes, Cynoglossidae. The record is from RefSeq and is a predicted model, not a curated record. The transcript has 2 exons.